GUAUUUAUCUAAACAAAAAGGGAAAAGUGACAAGAACACGUUUUAAGAACAUCUUAAGAGAACUACGGAUAGCAAUAGGAACAUAAAUUGAGCAAAAACAUUAUUAGUUAUAAAAGUUCGGUUUCCACACGGUCUUACAUUAGAGCUGUCCUUACCUGUGAACUGUGGUUUCCAAAUGAACGGAGUCUCGUUACUUAGCAACCGCAAACUUCCGGUGGCGGAGUGAUCUUACUACAUAGAAAGGUGUCUUCAUGGCCCGAUUUUUUAAAGGAGGCGGAGUGACAUGACUAAAAGGAGUAGUCAUGCGGUUGGAUCUUGCGCAGUAGUUUCUGGUCAGGAGAGCGCCAUUUCCAAAAAUAAACGGUUCAGGAUCAUCUUGGUCUCCAGGGUCAUCUGGAAGGAUCCAGUGUAGGACACCUCCAGAUCAAACCACAGACCUGAUGAAGACGCAGACAUGUCAAAGAUCAUGAAAGAAACCUUAAAUCCACAACAGAGAGUUGAAAGUGAAACGGAUGGAGCUGGAAGGAUCAUCACUGAGAGACAAACAUUUGUUCUCUUGAUUAAACACAUGCACUCAUGUCAGCAGCAGCAGGUCUGCUGUAAUCUGGAUUAAACAAACUCCUCACAGGUUUACACUGAAAUCCGAUAUAAAGACAGUCGUUUGGGUUUACUGCUGUUUAUUUUUCCCUUCAUGGCUUUUAUGUGCACAGCUCAUGCUGCUGUGGUGUCGUCUCUUUCAGCCACUAGAGGGCAGCAGCAGUUCAGAGAUCAAAUGAAAGAAUAGAGGAAGUGAAAGCUGUGAGAGAUUCCUUCAUAGAACACAGGAACCGCACAGAUGACAGAUGAUGUUUUUUUGUGGAAACAUUUUACAUGUGUGUGUGUUUUAGCUUUGACCUCUUCUUCU
Oryzias melastigma (Indian medaka) is the source of this 904-nucleotide long non-coding RNA. RefSeq lists it as uncharacterized. The record is from RefSeq and is a predicted model, not a curated record. NCBI's taxonomy places the organism in Eukaryota, Metazoa, Chordata, Actinopteri, Beloniformes, Adrianichthyidae. The transcript is spliced from 3 exons.